GGGUUGUGAGGUUAAGCGACUAAGCGUACACGGUGGAUGCCCUGGCAGUCAGAGGCGAUGAAGGGCGUGCUAAUCUGCGAUAAGCGCCGGUAAGGUGAUAUGAACCGUUAUAACCGGCGAUUUCCGAAUGGGGAAACCCAGUGUGACUCGUCACACUAUCAUUAACUGAAUCCAUAGGUUAAUGAGGCGAACCGGGGGAACUGAAACAUCUAAGUACCCCGAGGAAAAGAAAUCAACCGAGAUUCCCCCAGUAGCGGCGAGCGAACGGGGAGGAGCCCAGAGCCUGAAUCAGCAUGUGUGUUAGUGGAAGCGUCUGGAAAGGCGCGCGAUACAGGGUGACAGCCCCGUACACAAAAGCGCAUGUGUUGUGAGCUCGAUGAGUAGGG
Molecule: ribosomal RNA, 386 nt
Filed under: Salmonella enterica subsp. enterica serovar Newport
Lineage: Bacteria; Pseudomonadati; Pseudomonadota; Gammaproteobacteria; Enterobacterales; Enterobacteriaceae
Description: bacterial LSU rRNA
Rfam family: Bacterial large subunit ribosomal RNA
Source: RNAcentral